UACGUAUGGUGCAAGCGUUAUCCGGAUUUACUGGGUGUAAAGGGAGCGCAGGCGGUGCGGCAAGUCUGAUGUGAAAGCCCGGGGCUCAACCCCGGGACUGCAUUGGAAACUACCGAACUAGAGUGUCGGAGAGGUAAGUGGAAUUCCUAGUGUAGCGGUGAAAUGCGUAGAUAUUAGGAGGAACACCAGUGGCGAAGGCGGCUUACUGGACGAUAACUGACGCUGAGGCUCGAAAGCGUGGGGAGCAAACAGG
Molecule: ribosomal RNA, 253 nt
Filed under: uncultured bacterium
Lineage: Bacteria
Description: partial 16S ribosomal RNA
Rfam family: Bacterial small subunit ribosomal RNA
Source: RNAcentral